This 274-nucleotide ribosomal RNA is filed under the name uncultured bacterium. RNAcentral's name for it is "partial 16S ribosomal RNA". It matches the Rfam family "Bacterial small subunit ribosomal RNA", at positions 523 to 796 of the family's 1533-position model. The record is from RNAcentral.
AUACGGAGGCUGCAAGCGUUAAUCGGAAUUACUGGGCGUAAAGCGCGCGUAGGCGGUUUAGUCAGUCAGAUGUGAAAGCCCCGGGCUCAACCUGGGAACUGCAUUUGAUACUGCUGAACUAGAGUAUGGUAGAGGGAAGUGGAAUUCCGGGUGUAGCGGUGAAAUGCGUAGAUAUCCGGAGGAACACCAGUGGCGAAGGCGACUUCCUGGACCAAUACUGACGCUGAGGUGCGAAAGCGUGGGUAGCAAACAGGAUUAGAAACCCUAGUAGUCC